CUAAUAUGUUGUUGUCUUCGUGAUUACUUAUUAUAUUCAUGGUUUGACUUGGCAGAGCUACAAGAUGUUCUUCCUUCUAUCAUCAACCAAUUGGGUAUGCUACUCUUUGACUUACUGAGGCCAUCCAAUAAAUUGUUUAGUUUAAUAAUCUUUUAAGGUGAUUUAUAAGCCUGUGUUGGCACUUGGGCUUCAAGUAUUUGACUUCCAUUUUAUUAUUUGUCCAGUGAGUAUGCUACUCUGUGUGACUUGGUGAGACGAGCCAAUAAAUAGUUUAGGUUAAUAAUCUUAAAGUUGAUCUAUAAUUGUGUACUCGCAAUUGGG
Molecule: long non-coding RNA, 321 nt
Filed under: Hordeum vulgare
Lineage: Eukaryota; Viridiplantae; Streptophyta; Magnoliopsida; Poales; Poaceae
Description: long non-coding RNA (HVUL_LNC003786)
Source: RNAcentral